RNAcentral lists this ribosomal RNA (429 nucleotides) under bacterium. RNAcentral describes it as "partial 16S ribosomal RNA". It matches the Rfam family "Bacterial small subunit ribosomal RNA", at positions 355 to 776 of the family's 1533-position model. The record is from RNAcentral.
UAGGGAAUCUUCGGCAAUGGGGGCAACCCUGACCGAGCAACGCUGCGUGAGUGAAGAAGGUUUUCGGAUCGUAAAGCUCUGUUGUAAGAGAAGAACGUGUGUGAGAGUGGAAAGUUCACACAGUGACGGUAACUUACCAGAAAGGGACGGCUAACUACGUGCCAGCAGCCGCGGUAAUACGUAGGUCCCGAGCGUUGUCUGGAUUUAUUGGGCGUAAAGCGAGCGCAGGCGGUUUAAUAAGUCUGAAGUUAAAGGCAGUGGCUUAACCAUUGUUCGCUUUGGAAACUGUUAAACUUGAGUGCAGAAGGGGAGAGUGGAAUUCCAUGUGUAGCGGUGAAAUGCGUAGAUAUAUGGAGGAACACCGGUGGCGAAAGCGGCUCUCUGGUCUGUAACUGACGCUGAGGCUCGAAAGCGUGGGGAGCAAACAGG